RNAcentral lists this ribosomal RNA (479 nucleotides) under uncultured bacterium. RNAcentral describes it as "bacterial SSU rRNA". It matches the Rfam family "Bacterial small subunit ribosomal RNA", at positions 55 to 507 of the family's 1533-position model. The record is from RNAcentral.
AUGCAAGUCGCACGAGAACGCUUCAGCUUGCUGAAGCUAGUAAAGUGGCGCACGGGUGAGUAACGCGUGGGUAAUCUACCUCCAAAUUGGGGAUAACAUUGCGAAAGCGAUGCUAAUACCGAAUAAUAUCUCAAAUACUUCGGUUUUUGAGAUCAAAGGUGGCCUCUCCAUGGAAGCUACUGUUAGGAGAUGAGCCCGCGUACCAUUAGCUUGUUGGUAGGGUAAUGGCCUACCAAGGCAACGAUGGUUAGCUGGUCUGAGAGGAUGAUCAGCCACACUGGAACUGACACACGGUCCAGACUCCUACGGGAGGCAGCAGUGAGGAAUUUGCGCAAUGGGGGAAACCCUGACGCAGCAACGCCGCGUGAGUGAUGAAGGCCUUCGGGUCGUAAAGCUUUGUCAAGUGAGAAGAACCUGCCCUGCGCUAAUAUCACCGGGCACUGACGGUACCAUUGAAGGAAGCACCGGCUAACUCCGUG